Molecule: ribosomal RNA, 177 nt
Filed under: uncultured bacterium
Lineage: Bacteria
Description: partial 16S ribosomal RNA
Rfam family: Bacterial small subunit ribosomal RNA
Source: RNAcentral
UCCAUGAAGUUGGAUUCGCUAGUAAUCGCGCAUCAGCCAUGGCGCGGUGAAUACGUUCCCGGGCCUUGUACACACCGCCCGUCAAGCCAUGGGAGCCGGGGGGUGCCUGAAGUUCGUGACCGCAAGGAGCGACCUAGGGCAAAACUGGUGACUGGGGCUAAGUCGUAACAAGGUAGC